RNAcentral lists this transfer RNA (77 nucleotides) under Mariprofundus micogutta. Its description in RNAcentral is "tRNA-Arg". It matches the Rfam family "tRNA". From Rfam's summary of the family: Transfer RNA (tRNA) molecules are approximately 80 nucleotides in length. Their secondary structure includes four short double-helical elements and three loops (D, anti-codon, and T loops). Further hydrogen bonds mediate the characteristic L-shaped molecular structure. tRNAs have two regions of fundamental functional importance: the anti-codon, which is responsible for specific mRNA codon recognition, and the 3' end, to which the tRNAs corresponding amino acid is attached (by aminoacyl-tRNA synthetases). tRNAs cope with the degeneracy of the genetic code in two manners: having more than one tRNA (with a specific anti-codon) for a particular amino acid; and 'wobble' base-pairing, i.e. permitting non-standard base-pairing at the 3rd anti-codon position. The record is from RNAcentral. Lineage: Bacteria; Pseudomonadati; Pseudomonadota; Candidatius Mariprofundia; Mariprofundales; Mariprofundaceae.
GCACGAUUAGCUCAGCUGGAUAGAGCGCAGCCCUCCGAAGGCUGAGGCCGCAGGUUCGACUCCUGCAUCGUGCGCCA